ACACGACUACAUUAGACUACCCUGUAGUCCUAGGCGUAAAUGAUGCGAGUUAAGUGUGGGGCAUCUACGAGAUGGCCCUGUGCUGUAGGGUAGCCGUUAAACUCGCUGCCGUGGGAGUACGGUCGCAAGGCUAGAAACUUAAAGGAAUUGGCGGGGAGCACCACAACAGGUGGAGCCUGCGGUUUAAUUGGACUCAACGCCGGGAAGCUCACCGGAUAGGACAGCAGAAUGAUUGCCGGGCUGAAGACCCUGCAUGACUAGCUG
Molecule: ribosomal RNA, 264 nt
Filed under: uncultured archaeon
Lineage: Archaea
Description: partial 16S ribosomal RNA
Rfam family: Archaeal small subunit ribosomal RNA
Source: RNAcentral